Molecule: ribosomal RNA, 497 nt
Filed under: uncultured bacterium
Lineage: Bacteria
Description: partial 16S ribosomal RNA
Rfam family: Bacterial small subunit ribosomal RNA
Source: RNAcentral
GAUGAACGCUGGCGGCGUGCCUAAUACAUGCAAGUCGAGCGAACGGACGAGAAGCUUGCUUCUCUGAUGUUAGCGGCGGACGGGUGAGUAACACGUGGAUAACCUACCUAUAAGACUGGGAUAACUUCGGGAAACCGGAGCUAAUACCGGAUAAUAUUUUGAACCGCAUGGUUCAAAAGUGAAAGACGGUCUUGCUGUCACUUAUAGAUGGAUCCGCGCUGCAUUAGCUAGUUGGUAAGGUAACGGCUUACCAAGGCAACGAUGCAUAGCCGACCUGAGAGGGUGAUCGGCCACCCUGGAACUGAGACACGGUCCAGACUCCUACGGGAGGCAGCCGUAGGGAAUCUUCCGCAAUGGGCGGAAGCCUGACGGAGCAACGCCGCGUGAGUGAUGAAGGUCUUCGGAUCGUAAAACUCUGUUAUUAGGGAAGAACAUAUGUGUAAGUAACUGUGCACAUCUUGACGGUACCUAAUCAGAAAGCCACGGCUAACUACGUG